This 86-nucleotide transfer RNA is filed under the name Tropicimonas omnivorans. RNAcentral describes it as "tRNA-Leu". It matches the Rfam family "tRNA". Rfam says of the family: Transfer RNA (tRNA) molecules are approximately 80 nucleotides in length. Their secondary structure includes four short double-helical elements and three loops (D, anti-codon, and T loops). The record is from RNAcentral. Lineage: Bacteria; Pseudomonadati; Pseudomonadota; Alphaproteobacteria; Rhodobacterales; Roseobacteraceae. RNAcentral also lists the same sequence under 1 other name.
GCGGGCGUGGCGGAAUGGUAGACGCAUGGCACUUAAAAUGCUUGGGGCUGAUGCCCGUGGGGGUUCGAGUCCCCCCGCCCGUACCA